Molecule: long non-coding RNA, 727 nt
Filed under: Pelobates cultripes (western spadefoot toad)
Lineage: Eukaryota; Metazoa; Chordata; Amphibia; Anura; Pelobatidae
Source: RNAcentral
GUCAUAGAGAGAGUGUCAGAGAGAGUGUGUCAGAGAGAGACAGUGUCAGUAAGAGAAAGAGAGUGUGUCAGAGAGAGACAGACAGAUAGUGACAGAGAGCUGGGUAGUUCCCAACAAGGAGGGACCAGGAUAUAAAAUAUAACUAAUAAUGAAGAAACGAAACAGAAAGUAAAAUCUACAUUUACAGCAACAGCUCCCCAAAGAAAACACUCACUACAGUAAUGCUGAGCUGCAGGAGCUGACACUCACACUCACACUGAGAGGCACUCACACUGCCAGACACUCACACUCACACUGAGAGGCACUCACACUGCCAGACACUCACACUGAGAGGCACAGACACUCACACUGCCAGACACUCACACUGCCAGACAUACACUGAGAGACACUCACACUGAGGGAGACACUCACACUGAGGGAGACACUCACUACAGUAAUGCUGACCUGCAGGAGCUGACACUCACACUGAGCGACACUCACUAAGAGACACUCACACUGAGCGACACUCACACCAGGAGACACUCACACUCAGCGCUCAGGAUGGGGGAUGGCUACCAGUUCCCUGUGGCCCUCCAGUGGGAUUUGGGGCCCGAGAAGCUGAAACAGAUGAAGAACAAGUUAAUGGUUUAUUUCGGGAGCAAAAAGAAAUCGAAUGGAGGAGAAUGUGCGAUAAAAGACAUGGAGUGCACUCAGGGCUAUGUACUAAUAUACUUCAACCAGGAGACAG